AUUUUAACAAAUUAACAAAAACACCACAGUUAAAUCACUCUAAAUACCUUUCUUUUUGCAAAAGUCUUCUCUUGCGCCCACACUCUCGAUCUGAUGCCAGCUGGAGCCACCUCUUCAUCGUCCCCUCGACCGCCAUCUCUGCAGCAUUAGCCGUGAAGAGGUUUCUAUGAACUGCAGCUUUGGAAUAAUGACAUAUCCUUUCAGACCUCCACGGGCUACAGAUGAGGAAAAGGCCGUGUGACGCAAAGCAGGCUGCACGGUUGUUGACGGAGUUUGGCGAUGCCCCCAUUGCUGUCCUUGUCUUCAAAGUUGACGCAUGGCAGGCACCAUGCGUCAAAAGGGGGAAUGAUAGCUGCGAAAAGCAUUGGUUUCUCUAAUUACUCUAAAAAAAAUUUGUUUAUGCUGUUUGCACAACUCAAAACGUGGGUUGAGGUUUGAAGGUAGAGAAGGCCACGUCCCUACGUGUAUCUCCAGUGAUCAUGGCACACCUUUUGUGAGUCAUGCCCUUAAGUAGGUUGAUGAAUAUUUGGGUAUUGGCUUAAAGCAGCACUGUGCAUAUCAUCCGGCUAGUGGUGGGGUGGUAGAGAGAAAAUGGGACACUAAAAAACAGACUGCGCAAUACUGUUCUGAAACAGGCUUAGGAUGGGCUCAGCCCCUUUGGGAUACUGUUUGGGAGACCUCCACACACAGGCAUUGGACCUGUGACAGCUCCUCUUCCCGACGCUGCAGCAUUUGAUGAUGUAAUGUUAAAUUACUGUGCAACCCUGUCCUCUGCUCUGCACUCUAUCCACAAGCAGGUAAAGGCAGCAUUUCCAGCUCCAGCCAAGGGUCCGCUGCAUGAUCUGAAGCCCGGAGACUGGGUUGUGAUCAAGGACUUCCACAGGACCAGGUGGAACAAGCCACAGUGGUCUGGGCCAUUCUAGAUCCUUUUUCGUAACUCACUCCGUGGUAAAGGCCAGCCAGAGAGCCAUGUCGAUGCACGCCAGCCACUGCAGGAGUGUUCCAGAGAUGAGCACUGAGCUGUAGAGGACGGGACUGCAACAGGAGAGCUAGACCAUAAUUCUCUAUCAAGAGGUGACCUACGCUCACAAGCGAC
This is a long non-coding RNA of Ictalurus punctatus (channel catfish), 1096 nucleotides long. Lineage: Eukaryota; Metazoa; Chordata; Actinopteri; Siluriformes; Ictaluridae. The record is from Ensembl.